Molecule: long non-coding RNA, 580 nt
Organism: Gymnodraco acuticeps
Lineage: Eukaryota; Metazoa; Chordata; Actinopteri; Perciformes; Bathydraconidae
Exons: 3
Source: RefSeq, a predicted model, not a curated record
GUCAGAGGGGGAGGAGCCUAACCGCCUGCAGACAGGUAGAUAUGUUAUCAUUUAUUAACAUGAUGAUGUUUGAAUGAUUCUUAAAUCUGCUGCUCACCUGCUCCCAGAGUCCUCACCUGAGGGGGCGGGGCCUGUGGGGGGGGUGGAGCCAGGGUCUCACCUGACGUCCGAUAUCACCGCUGCCUUCAACACCUUUAAUUCUCAGCUGGAUCACCACUUCACCGUCAGUGCACACCCUAAAGGAUUUUAUUAUCAACAAACAAAUAAAGUACUUUAAAAUAUGAAAUAACGAUACGUGGCUGUUGGAAGAACGUGGAGACAGAAAUACUCCAGUCGUUAACAAAAUGUCAACAACACGUCUCCUCCCUGCUGACCGCUGUCCAUCAACACAGGUUGGUGUUGCUCCACAGGUUUCAGAGCAGUGUCACUGAUCAGCUGAAGAGUAUCCAUGAUGAUUCAAACCGUCUGACUUCCAUCAACACACAAACCCUGAACUUCUUCCAGACUGAGAUGCAGCAGCUGGGCUCGUUCUGUGAGGAGACCCUGACCAUGUGAGUCUGGAUCUGACUCUGGAUCUGAG